UCGAACGAGAAAGCUCCUUCGGGAGUGAGUAAAGUGGCGCACGGGUGAGUAACACGUAGGUGACCUGUCCCUCAGACGGGGAUAACGGGAAGAAAUUCCCGCUAAUACCGGAUAAGCCUGACGAAAGUGGAAGUAGUCAUGGAAAGGUGGCCUCUGAAUAUGCCACCGCUGAAGGAGGGGCCUGCGCUCCAUUAGCUAGUUGGCGGGGUAACGGCCCACCAAGGCGACGAUGGAUAGCCGGUCUGAGAGGAUGACCGGCCACACUGGAACUGAGACACGGUCCAGACCCCUACGGGAGGCAGCAGUAGGGAAUAUUGCGCAAUGGGGGAAACCCUGACGCAGCGAUGCCGCGUGAGUGAGGAAGGCCUUCGGGUUGUAAAGCUCUGUCGAUGGGGAAAAACGGCGCACAUUCGAACAGGGUGUGCGAGUGAUGGUACCCAUAAAGGAAGCACCGGCUAACUUCGUGCCAGCAGCCGCGGUAAUACGAAGGGUGCAAGCGUUGUUCGGAUUUACUGGGCGUAAAGGGCGUGUAGGCGGGCAAAUAAGUCAGGUGUGAAAUCUCGGGG
Molecule: ribosomal RNA, 566 nt
Filed under: uncultured delta proteobacterium
Lineage: Bacteria; Deltaproteobacteria
Description: bacterial SSU rRNA
Rfam family: Bacterial small subunit ribosomal RNA
Source: RNAcentral